Long non-coding RNA from Lethenteron reissneri (Far Eastern brook lamprey), 684 nucleotides. RefSeq lists it as uncharacterized. NCBI's taxonomy places the organism in Eukaryota, Metazoa, Chordata, Hyperoartia, Petromyzontiformes, Petromyzontidae. The record is from RefSeq and is a predicted model, not a curated record.
CAAUGGAGUUGGAGGAUGCGUUCGAGCGGCAUCGACGGAUGGACGUGAAAGACAAAGAUUGGGAUGCCACUUUGGAUAUCGUCGCCACCGCGGGGCUGUGGCGCCACCAAGCGAGCACGAGACGACACCGACAUGGGAGGGCGAGCGGCAUCUGGACCGGUCACCGGGCCUCCCGCUUCACCAACAAACCGUCACUGCCCAGCGCGGCGAAGUAUGGUCAAAGAGGCGCCGUGAUCGAAGAGGUGCGUGACGUCAUUUAUGGACGCCCCCUCCGAAAUACAGAGGCUCGAAGCGGGGCCCAUUACCCCCGGCAAGGAAUUCCAGCCCCUUGCGGGCAACACUCGAGGAAGUUGACACCCUUACUUCUAAAAUAUCUCAAACACAUUCCUGCGGAGGGAGCUGGUAGGAACGUUGGGUUGCUCGGUCAAUGGCCUGCAGGGUCAACGGCGGCGUGGUGUAUUCCGCAAAUAUGCCCGACUGUGAGGGCGGACACAAGCCGGCGUGAGUAGGUUAAACGUUGAUUUUUAUAAGGGCACCACGGGGUGACCAGCCCCACCCCUCGCACGCCCCACCCAGCCCCACCCCUCCCACCCAGCCCCUCCCUACCCUCCCAGCCCCUCACCACCCUCCUCACCCAGCCCCUCCCCACCCUCCCCUCCCCACCCAGCCCCACCCCUCCCACCC